Ananas comosus (pineapple) is the source of this 396-nucleotide long non-coding RNA. RefSeq lists it as uncharacterized. NCBI's taxonomy places the organism in Eukaryota, Viridiplantae, Streptophyta, Magnoliopsida, Poales, Bromeliaceae. The record is from RefSeq and is a predicted model, not a curated record. The transcript has 3 exons.
GGAGCUCAGAGAAGGGUUUUGCAUCUUCCUCACUUCCUCUCUCUAGAGUUUUUCUCUCUCUACACUAGAAUCAAGGGUUUUGAUCUAUUUUCUUCUCCUUCUUCGAUGCCAAUUGUUUUGGGAGGCCAGGGGAUUGUUGUAAAAGGGUGAAGAAGGUACUUUGGGAAGGUUUUCACUGCUCCAUCACAGUAAGUAGCUAAGUGGAGACCUACUAAGCUAGUUAAGGAGAGCUCUAGAGGCUCUAGAAGCUGGAUUUGAUGUGGGUUUUGUAACCUGAAUCUAGAAAGAGAGUAAGACUAGAGUUUGGAAAGAGCUUGGAGGCCCCUGUUGUGUUGAACUACUUGAUAUUGUGAAUCAGGUUGAGGAGAUUUUGACCAGCAAGAAGCAGAGUUACAA